This is a long non-coding RNA of Dermochelys coriacea (leatherback sea turtle), 609 nucleotides long. RefSeq lists it as uncharacterized. Lineage: Eukaryota; Metazoa; Chordata; Testudines; Dermochelyidae. The transcript has 3 exons. The record is from RefSeq and is a predicted model, not a curated record.
UUUGUGCUCUUUGUUUACAUGUUUGUUCUCUCUUGGGACUGAGAGAGGCCAGACAGAAAUCCAUCUUCUCCAACCCAUCCUAAUCCAAGUCUCCAAUAUUGCAACCAGUAUAGACAACGUUGUCAGAGCCAGCUACUCUCACACAGAGUAAGCCCACUGAAACUGCUGGAGGUACAGCAGGGAUGAAUUUGACCUACAAUGCCGGCUGAGAGAGGAUUGCUGUAAUGGGAGAGGCCGUUGUCUAGUGAAUUCAACAUAGGACUGGGCAUUGGGAGUCCUGUGCACAAAGCUGGGAAAGAAUUCCCCAGCAAGUUAUUCCAGCUUGGCACUUGGGGAAGAGGCUUAUGACUUUACACGUUAUUCCACUAUUCAAAGGGAUAUUUACAGGUGUUUAGCUUAAUGAUCAAUUAAAUCGACAUGGCAGAGUCUGACUACUUUUCAUCAUCUUUCUAAACUGAAAAUCCAAUACACCACUCUCAGACUGCAUCUGGGAAAGGAAAAUCUACACAGAUGCAAGAAGUGACAGUCCAGGUGCAAGGAAGACACUUCAAAAACCAGCUCAUCUAAUUCACCAUUGUAGUAUGCUAAAAAUAAUAAAUUGUGUGAUAA